AGAUCUCCGCGUAGUACAAAGCGAUUAUGGAUAAAUCUAAAAAAUGUUCUUAUCGGCUGAAUAUUUGAUACGUCCCCCAAUUGGGGACUUCGAUAUUUCACUGAUUUAACAAACAUGUCGGAGGGUUAGGGACUUGCUCCACCUCUGCCAAGGAUCGGCCUGGUGAUAUCGUACCUCCAGGACUGACCCACUCCCC
Pomacea canaliculata is the source of this 196-nucleotide small nuclear RNA. RefSeq annotates it as U2 spliceosomal RNA. The record is from RefSeq and is a predicted model, not a curated record. The transcript has a single exon. NCBI's taxonomy places the organism in Eukaryota, Metazoa, Mollusca, Gastropoda, Architaenioglossa, Ampullariidae.